CUUGGCUGCUAGCACAGAGAUACACAGCAGAGUCACCCGUCUCCAACGAGUUGAUAUGAAGUUUCAAAUGAGCUUUGUCCAGAGAUUCAGGGGAAGCCACCACAGAAAGAAGGGAGGGCUGUCGCUGGGUGCUUGGGAAAUGCCAGGGUUUGAUCACAGCACAAAAGUAAAAGAGGGAAGAAAUAUGCAAUAACUUUAGCAUGAAGAUAACUUCAUCCACAAAGAGAAACAAAACCUCCAUCAUUGCCUCUGCUUUUGGUGACUUUAACAAGGACAGAGCUUUCUCCAGCCACCAGUCCCUGAGAACUCAGCGGGAAGACCAGGCUCUGUGGUCUGGGAUAAGGGCAGGAAGGAAAAUCUCUUGUGUCUAAUUCUGUCAAAUUUAGUUACCUGGACACAGAGUUCCAUGAAGACUAAAGUUACAUCUGACUCAGCCUCACUCUUCACUGGUGCUCAGAACUGGUUUCUAGGGCCUGCUAGGGGCCAAGGGCCAUGACUCCCCUUCCAUUCUGCUCAACUGGCUCUUAGUUACUGGUAGCUCUGACCUUGAAAA
Long non-coding RNA from Myotis daubentonii (Daubenton's bat), 553 nucleotides. RefSeq lists it as uncharacterized. The record is from RefSeq and is a predicted model, not a curated record. NCBI's taxonomy places the organism in Eukaryota, Metazoa, Chordata, Mammalia, Chiroptera, Vespertilionidae.